This 21195-nucleotide long non-coding RNA is filed under the name Ananas comosus (pineapple). RNAcentral's name for it is "long non-coding RNA (ACOM_LNC024822)". Lineage: Eukaryota; Viridiplantae; Streptophyta; Magnoliopsida; Poales; Bromeliaceae. The record is from RNAcentral.
GCGGAGGAGGGGGAGGCAUCGGGCGAGGAGGGCGCAGAGGUGGACUUCGAUCGGGGAGUCGGGGGGGAGGUCGGAGAGGGAGAUGGAGGGGAGGGAGACGGAGGUGACGGAGCCGGAGGGGAGGGAGGCGAGGAAGGCGGCCUGCGCCGGGGAGUCGAAGUUGGAGAAGGUGAGGAGGGUGGCGGAGAAGCCGUGGGCGGCGAGGCGAACGGCAAAGUCCGCCAGCGGGAUCACGUGGCCUAUUCCCGGCGCCGAGAGCAGGACCACGUGAGGUCGCCGGCUUUCAGCAUUCAUAUAAUUAAUGUGGUAAUAUUUGUUUGGACUGUCGUGCAGUACAAAAUAGAGAUAUAGAUAUGUAUCAACAGAAAAAGGGGAGUUUGAGUUGUGUUGUGUUUGUAAGAUUUUGCAGAAAGCUUCUCAUCAAUUACGGGAAAAAAGUGUGGGCGAUGUUCUCUGGUCAGUCGUCUUUGGCUCCAUGCGUUGUGGAUGUGUUUGGUGGUGCAUUUCUUUCCCAAUUUAAUAAUACAUAAAUAGAAUAGUAAAUUUUAUUUUUUUGAAUAUUUAUAGCAUUUUAGAAAGCAAUAUGUUACAUAAGUCAAAAAGUAUCAAACACAGCUGGUCAGAGUUGGUGCUGAACUGCAACUCUUGAGGAAAAAGACAAGUGCGAAAUUAUAUAAAAAAACCUUAAUAUUUAUUGAGGAUCUGUCUUUUCUUUUAAAAAAAAUGUAGAAGAGACAAAUGAAAUCCUCAGCAAUCAGAGCAAGUGGUCAAACAAGCCAUUUUGAUGGCACAGCAAAUCUAUUCAGUCGACCGAAUCAAUAUGAUGAACUUCUAAAAUUAAUAAAGCAAUUAAUUUUUAAAUUUAGAAGUCAUUGAUUAUCACUUUUUUAAUAAGUGUAUAUUGCAAUCUACAUUAAUUUAGUUGAUUGUAAUAUAAAAAUAGUAUUGUAAUAUUAUGAUCGUUGAUGCGCCAAAAAUUAUAAUAUUACAUCAUUUUUAUUUUAGCAGUAUAUUAAUAUUUAGUUAGAUAAAUUUAGGUACCGGACUUGGCUACUUGGUUUGUACUUAAUUCCAUACCAUUUGUUUGUUUGUUUGUUUUUUUUUUUGGAAUGUUACUUCAUCCCCUCUUUUGAUGUUGACUAUUGUCAAUUUGGCUUAAAUUAGCGUGCCAUAUCACUAAGAGAAUCUUAUUGAAGAAACAAUGGUCACAUAUGACGUAAUUAUAGUCAAAACAAAAAAGCUUUUAUAUUCUUAGGAAAUUACUUAUGUAAUAUUCGAAUUACCAUCCAAAAGGAAAAGAAAAAUUAACCACACAUUUUUCUGGUCCAAGUGGCUUGACAUUUUCAAAUAUAGUUUCCAAAUUUAUUUACUUUAUAAAAAAUAUUUACGCGUAAUAAGUUGACCUGAGAAACAAACUAAUCAUUGAGUAUACUAACAUUCUUGCGAAAUUAAUACAAAUGACACACGAAAUUAACAGAUAGCACGAUGCAUACUAAACAAACUAUUAAUAUAAAUGACACGCGAAAUUAACAGGUGAUACAAUGCAUACUAUGAAAAAAAUUAAUUCGACAAAAAAUUAUAAUUGAUAAAAACAAUUAUUCACAAAAAUAUAGAUUUGAUACUUUGUUUACUUUUACGCAGCACAAGAAAAUAAAUAGAUAAACCUAAGUAAUAGAUAAACCUAGUUAUCCAAAAGCCGACCAAGAGGUAGGGAAGUUCCAGUCCCCUAUACAAACUUAAAUUUGGGACUCUGUACGCUUGUAUGGGUUUAUUGUAUAACGGCGUGUUUGGUAAAAUGGAUCGACACUUCAGUAAAGCCACGAGUUCCGUCUGUAUGGCAGAGCUCGACUUUGAGUUCGCAUAGAGCGCGAACUUGUUGAUUUGUGAGACGAAUUCGCACGUGCAGGCGGAGUAGGCCCCAUGGAAGUCGAGCUCUGUCGUUUCGUCCAAACGUUGGCGAAUUUCUGUUACGAGAACUAUGCCACUUCGACCUCGAAUGUGAUCAAAACAAAUACACUCUAAGUUGUUUUUUUUUUAGAGAGAGAGAAAAAUAGCAUACUAUCUGUUCCGUUUAUUUCUUUUAAAAUAAAAAAAUAAAUUUAGCUGAAAAUGUGAAAUAAUUAGAUUUCGAACUUACAAUCUCAAGUAUCAACCACUAAAUUUUUCACCACUUGCAAUAUGGCCAGAGGUCAGUACACUCUUAAGUUGUGGAAAGGAUUGUUUGUGCCACUCAUAGACACACAAAAAAAAGGAUUAAGGGAUAUUUUCGGUCGGGCCGGACUUUCGAGAGCGACACCCGAACCCGGCUUGUUUAUGUUUCGAGCGGGGCUUUGGGCUGGGCUGAGGCUCCAACAGCCCAGCUCAAGCCCACCCGUUAAGCUCCAAACUCGGACUUUCUUAAUUUUCUUGUUAUUUUCAAAAAAGAAAAAAAAAACCAUCUACUUACCCUAUCAGAAAUCAAAUUUGAUUUUAAAAUAAUUGAACUAUACUUUGCAGAUAGGAGUUUGUAUGUAGCACUGGACAAUUAAUUUCUGACAAAGUUAGAGUACAUUUAGACUAUGCAAAUCCAGUGAUAUUUUUCCUCCUGUUUUGUCCGUUGAUAAGAUUCUUGUACCCUUCAAUUUUGGCUUUUACCUAUCUUAUCUUAUCAAUACCAAUAUAUUAAAGUGACGGACCGUCCCUAUCGUAAGUGGCAAAAGAUUUGGUGGUUGGUAUUCAAGAUUUCAAGUUCGAAUCUGUCUUGAUUUAUAUUUUCAGAUAAAUUUAUUUUAAAUAAAGUAAACAAAAUGAAUAACAUUCUACCUAUCUCUCUCUCUCUCUCAAAAAAAAAAAAAAAAAGGCAUUACAGGGCUACAUACAUGAAAGGAUAAUCCAAACCAUGUGAACAGCAGAGGCCCUCCUCGCUCCCCCCUCUCUCAGGUGGGUCACACUUUUUUUUUUUUCCCCCCCCCUCUCUCUCUCUCCUCUCAUCUCUCUCUCUCUCUCUCUCUCUCUCGUCUCUCUCUCUUCUCUCUCUCUCUCUCUCUCUAGAGAUGUCAACGGUCGGAUUCGGGCGAAUUUUUAAAACCCGAACCCGAACCCGACUCCAAAAACCCGAGACCCGAACCGACGGAUUUUAAAAUUCAUAUCCAAACCCGAACCCGACCAAAAUCGAAACCUGAACCCGAACCCGAAAAUUUGAACCUGAAAUAAUUAUUUCUUUUUUCAAUAUUUCAAAAUAUAUUAUAUUAAAUUUAAAUUUUUAAAAUACAAAUUCAAAUAUAACAUCAAUUUUUUAUAUAUAUAUUAUAUAUAAUGCAAAAUAAAUUCGGGUUCGGGUCGGGUUCGGGUCGGGUUCGGGUUCGGGUCGGGUACAAUCAAAAUCCAUAUCCGAAUUCAUAUCCGUUAGAUUUCUAUUUUUGAUUUCUAUAUUCGAAUCCAUAUCCAUAUCCAUCAGAUAUAUCCGGGUUCGGGUUCGGAUAAAAUUUCGGGUAUCCAUACCCAUUGACAUCCCUACUUCCUUCACCCUUUCUUUUUCUUUUUUUUUUCUCUCAACAUUUUUUGUUUACUUUUGCCUAUAUUACGUGUAAAAUUUUAUCGCAUAAACCAAUUCUAUUUUUUAAUUGUCAAUAUAACAAAAUUAAAAUUUUAUACGGUAUAAAAAAAUUGCACACCGAGUGUAUAAGACAUGCUCAUAUACAAUUUAUAAUUUGAAUUUUUUAUUUUUGCCUAUAUCAAGUGUAAAAUUUUAGCGCAUGGAGCAAUUCGAUCUAUUUUUUAAUAGCCUUCUCAAGGGUGAGGCCCACUUUUUUUUUCUCUCUGUCACACCCUAUACUUUUUUUCUUUUUUUUUUUUUCCUCUCAACACCUUUUCUUUUUUUUUUAUACCAAAUUUAAAAUUUUAUUGUAUGGAUCAAUCCUAUUUUUUAAUAGUCGAUAGUUUACGGCAGCCACCUCAAAUAAAGAGGUGGGCUCACUCCACUACUCUCUCUCUCUCUCUCUCUCUCUCUCUCUCUUACACACACACACACACACAUACACACACUAUACAAUUUUUUUUUUUUUCUCCCAACACUCUUUCCUUUUUCUUUUUUUUUUUGCCUACGCCAAGUGUUAAAAAAAUUAUACACCGAGUGUAUAAGACAUGCAUAUGUAUUAUAUAAGAUAAAGUUUAGCUUUCUAUCUAUCUAGCUAUAUCCAUACACCCUACAUACUAUACACCCUACACCCCUACAACCGUAUAAUCCUGUUUUUUAAUAGUAGGUAUAAUAAAAUUAAAAUUUCAUACUGUAUAAAACAAGUUGUACAUCGAGUGUAUAAAACAUGAUCGUAUACACACAUGCUUUUGACAGUAUCAAAGAGAACCUAUAUAUUUUGGGUUAAAAUUUUUUUGUACGUAUAAAAAUGCAUAUAUUUGAUUUAAAAAUAUACAAUAAAUGAAAUAACUAGGAAACAGAAUCUGGUCGAAUACUUUGUCAUAAUAAAAGUAGAUUAUACAUGCAUGAAAGUUGUGUGUAUUCGGUAGUUUGUACAGGAUAACAAAAAAGGACCCUCAUAUUUCUGGUAAAAAUACUCUAUUUUUUAAUAGUCGAUAUAAAAAAUUAAAAUUUUAUACGGUGUAAAAAAAUUAUACACAAAGUGUAUAAGACAUGCUCAUAUACAAUCUAUAAUUUAAAUUUUUUUUAUAUUUUUGCCUAAAUCAAGUGUAAAAUUUUAAUAUAUAUAUCAAUAAUUUUUUUUAAUAAUCUCUUCAAGCAAAGAGGUGGGGCCCACUUUUUUUUCUCCCAAUUACCCCACAUCCCUUAUUUUAUUUUAUUUUCUCUCAACACCUUUUUUUUUAUUUUUUCCUACACCUAGUGUAAAAAAUAGGGUUGAUCCAUGUGCUAAAAUUUUACAUUUAGUGUAGGCAAAAAUAAAAAAGAAUUCAAAUUAUAGAUUGUAUAUGAACAUAUCUUAUACACUCGGUGUACAACUUUUUUUACAUCGUAUAAAAUUUUAAUUUUGUUAUAUCGACUAUUAAAAAAUAGAGUUGGUCCAUGUGAUAAAAUUUUACACUUGAUGUAGGAAAAAAAUAAAAAUAAAAGGUGUUGAGCAAAAAAAAAUUUAAAAAAAGAGGUGUAGGGAGAGAGAGAGAGAGAGAGUGAGAGAGAGAGAAAAAAAAGGCAUAUUUUUCAAUAAUUAAUAUGACAAAAUUAAAAUUUCAUCUGAUAAAUACAAUCUAUAAUAUAAAAAAAUCUAGAUACGAAAAUUAAUAGAUUUGUAUCUCUAUAAUAAAACUUCAUAAAUAUUGUGUAAAAAAAAUUAUAGAUUCGGUUCGGUGUAUAAGACAUUCUUACACAUUCUUCAAUUUGACUUUGACUUGACAUAAAUAAAGUUUAGUUUUGAGCUCUCCUUGGAGCAUUGGUGGGGCCCACCCACUUUCUCCACUCCCCUCUCAACCAUUACCUUUUUCUUUCUUUCUUUUUUUGUUUGCAUCAUGUCUAAAAAUUCUUGCAUGAACAAAAAAAAUAAAUUUUUAAUAAUUUAUAUAAUAAACUAAAAUCUAACUUAAUAACUGCAAUCUAUAAUCUAUAAAAAGUGUAAAUACAAAAAUUACUGAAUUUUACUUUUAUAAUAAAAUUUUAUAAAUACAAUGUAAAAAAUUGGUUAUAUAUCUGGUUGAUUUAUUUUUUUAUAAAUAGACAGUUAUUGUGAAUCUUUUGUUUUUUGGUAGUACGCUAUUUUGUGUUCUCUUACUGUUUUAAUUAAGUAAUACUUUAUAGGUCCUAAUCAAAUCAUUAUUCUCAUCAAAUUUUUUUAAUUUAUUAAAAUUUAAUAAAAUUAUUAAUUUUUAGAUCUUUACAUGUCAAAUAUAUUCCUGUAAAAAAUAUACAGGUAGCAUUUUUCUUUUUAGAGAAAAACAGUGGUUCAUCUGUCCCAAUCCAUGACAAUCAUGAUGUUACCAAUACAGUGGAAAAAAUCAAACUACUUUAUGGUAGUAGGCAAUAUUUUACUUUGUUUUUUUUAAAAAAUAAAUUUAGAUGAAAAUGUGGUUCAAAAUUAGGAUUUCGGGUAUUAAUCAUCAAACUCUUUACAACUUGCAGUAUGAACGGUAGGUAAUAUUAGAAUAAAAAAUGGGCUAGUAUUUGAUUUAGUAAUUUAAAUUUAACAUCUUUUAGAUUCUUAUACUUAAAAGUAAAAUUAAAAUACUAUUAAUAGCAAAAGAAAAGUAUUUGCUACCUAUAUUAUAGUUUUUGAAUGCAUAGAGUUUAUUAUUUGGCACAAUAUAUGCUAUUAUAAAUUGAAGGACUACAAAGUUAAUAUUAAAUACUUUUAUAUACUAUCAAUAGUAUUAUAGAUAAACUCUUUUAUGCAUAGAAUUAAAAAAAGAAAAAAUCAAUUAUACCAUUCCAUUUGGCCCAAAUAUUUAUUUUUAUUUUGAUUUUAGACUUAAGAUUUUCUCAAUUAAAUUCUUAAGCUAUAUUAUUUGUUUCGAUUAAGUACCACUCAUCAAAAAGUUCAAUAAUUUUGAUAAAAUUUAUAGCAAAAUUGAUUUAGAAAUAAUGUGGCAAUUCUCGUCAGAUUUUAAUACAAGACUUUAUUGAAGGACCCAGGAGGCAUUGGUAACUUAAUUACAAAAUAUUUUACGAAAUCGAGAGUUAAAAUAAUAAGCUUACGAAUAGAGAGCGAUAUAAAGACACAGCAUUAUUAAUACUGAUUCAUUAAUAAUAUUUUAUAAAACGUGUUUCAAGCUUUUGCUACGCGCUCUGACUAGCUCCCUCCUUCCACUUAUUGGCAAGUCCCUGCAGCGACUUGUACGAGGACCCGCCCGGCGGCGCGAGCGCCCGCGACGCCGCCUCCUGCAGCUCCUUGGCGCGACGGUGCAGCGCCUUGCCCUUCUCCCCCUGCAUCAAUUCCUUCGCCGCCGCCGCGAUCUCCUCCCUGCCGACGACGCCGUAUGGCUCCCUCGCCUGCGGCUGUAUGGCGAUUCCGACCGCCUCGGCGAGCAGGAUGGCAUUCAAGCGCUGCUCGGCGUAGAGCGGGUGCGCGAUCAUCGGCACGCCGUGCACGGUGCUCUCCAGCGCCGAGUUCCAGCCGCAGUGCGAGAAGAAGCCGCCGGUCGCAGCAUGGGCCAGCACCCUGACCUGCGGCGCCCACGACGGCACCACGCGGCCCACGUCCUUUGUCCGUUCCAAGAAGCCCUCGGGAAGGUAAUUCGACGGAUCGUCCUUGUUUCCUAACAUCAUUUAUAAACAGUAAAAUGCGACAAAUCAAGUAUAGCAACUGAGUUCUCCAACCAACUUUGGCCUAUGAAAGAAAUAACUUACGCACUAAAUCGAUGUGCGAAGAAUUGUAAAAACUCUAUACUAAUAAAUCAAAAUUAUAUAUAUUAUAAUAUCGGCACAUCAUCAAAUUUUAUAGCAAAUAGCUUAGUACCUGAUGUGAAGAAGGCGGCGUUCUUUUCUUUGUCACUCGGACACCUGACAACCCAAAGGAAGCGCUGCCCGCUGGCCUCCAGCCCGAGUGCCAUCUCCUGCAUCUGCUCCGUCGAGAGGGAGCCGCCACUUCCGAAAGACACGAAUAAAACCGAGUCGGCCGGCUGCCGGUCCAGCCACUCCAGGCAGCCCGACUCGUCCGCCUCGUCCGAACCGGACCGGACCAUCGGACCCACCAGGUGGACCGGCGGCCUCCCUGCUUCCGCUUGCUCCUCCUCUCUGAUGGCUUUCAGCACCUCCUGCUCCAUCUCCUCGAAGCUGUUCACCAGGAUCCCCGCCGCGUCGCUGUAACUGCAAAACAAAUCGUUACUUUGACAACUCAAUUGUAUUCGAACUAAGAAUCUACUAUUUUAUUUAAAAUUAUCAAUUAUUUUAGAAACGUACGAUGUUUCUUACCUGCUCAUGAUCCGGAUGACCGGAGCGUAGGCGGGAUGUGACUUCUUGCGCAAGGGGUCGGGGAAGUCCGUCCCGCGUAUGGCGACGCAGCCGGGCAGGCGGACGGGGUCGGGGAGGUCUUCGAAGUCGACGUCGGUGGUCUCGUCGAGCCGGGGCAGGCGCAGCGCGAGGGUGAGCAUCGUAAGGUUGGAAGGGUAAAAUAUGUAGCCCGGCACUCCGAGCUCCCGCACCAGCGACAGCGUCACGGCCCCAAAAAGGUCACAGACGAAGGCGGCGGCGGGGUUUCGGAAGGAGAGGAAGGCGUCGCGGAGGAGGGGGAGGCAUCGAGCGGGGAGGGCGCAGAGGUGGGCUUCGAUCGGGGAGUCGGGGGGGAGGUCGGAGAGGGAGAUGGAGGGGAGGGAGACGGAGGUGACGGAGUCGGAGGGGAGGGAGGCGAGGAAGGCGGCCUGCGCUGGGGAGUCGAAGUUGGAGAAGGUGAGUAGGGUGGCGGAGAAGCCGUGGGCGGCGGUGAGCCGGACGGCGAAGUCCGCCAGCGGGAUCACAUGGCCCAUCCCCGGCGUCGGGAGCAAAACCACAUGCGGCCGCCGGCUCUCCUUCCCCUCGACAGCCAUAUAAUUAAUAUCGUAAUAUUUGUUUGGACUGUCGUGCAGUAUAAAACAGAGAUACAGAUAUAUUCGUGAGAAGGGAAGUCUGAGUUGUGUUGUGUUUGUAAAAUUUGUCAGGAAGCUUCUCAUGAAUUAAGGGAAAAAAAAGUGUGGGCCAUGUUCUCAGGUCGGUCGUCUUUGGCUCCAUGUGUUGUGGACGUGUUUGGUUAUGUCUUCCUUUCCAAUUUAAUAAGACAUAAAUAGAAUAUAGUAAAUUUUAACUUUUUUUAAUAGUUAUAGCAUUUUAGAAAGCAAUUUGUUACAUAAGUCAUAAAGUAACAAACACAGUACAUGAACUUGAUCAAAUUAUUAUUACGUACAAUAAUUAAUAGAUGCUAACCUAAUUAUUUAGAUAAGAUGCAUCUUAUAAUAAUAUAUAUUAAGCUUACUACCUAGAACAAAAUAUAAUUUGUAUGUACGCGUCACGUUUUUAUUAUUUCAUUUUAAACAAUUAUUGUAUGCGCAUAAUUGCUGACGAGUACUGCGUACAUCUUUUUAAUAUGUUGAUACAUCAAAAUAUUUCUCAUUCUAGUAACUCCCCUUCAACCAGUAUUGUCAAAAUACACUCCUGAACUUUUAAUUUCAGUUGCUAAAUUAACCAGUUUUAUUAAUCCUCCUCCUCCAAUAAAGUUAUUAAUUAAUUAAAUAAUGAUGCUGAUUGAUAAAUUAUCCUCAAAUUGCUAUAAUUACUUUCCUUUUGUACGCUUUGGGAACAAAUAAUAUCUUUAUAUAUGUAUACAAUUAAUGUGUACCUUAUUUAUGGGCACAUCGACAAUAUCAACAAUUUAUAUAUAUAAAAAAAAAUCUUUUAGACAUUCAAAAUAUUUUUCUAAAAAAAUAUUAAAAAAGAUGGAUUAAAUACCUUACAUCUGAUUUAGAUUUAUAACCUUCUAUCAUAAUAUGGUGGGCAUACAUGUUACUAAUUAAUUAGUAAUUACUCUGCCGAAUACAUUUUGAUCCUGUUCCAACUUUUGUUUUUAUCUUUCCUCUUUUUGUACUUGAUUAAUUACCUUAUAUUCCAAUAAUUACUUUUCUCCUCCCAUUUUGCUUAUGUUUUAUAUUGGGGUCUAAAAAUGAUUCUACUAGUUAUAUUAAGGUAUUAGAUGAACUUGAUCCAAUAACUAUUUUUAAAAGAAAUAAACGAAACAGUUAACAUACUACCUUACCCUCUCAAAAAAAAAAAAUUUGCUGUAAUAAUACCUUUCCGCCGUAUCGUACGGGCCGUUAACUAGUUUUCUAUAAUUUAACAACUACAACUCACGAGGAAAACGACAAGUGCAAAAUUAUAUAAAAAAAAAAAACUUAACAUUUAUUGAGGAUCUGUCUUUCAUUUAAAAAAAAAAUGUAAAAGAGACAAAUGAAAUCCUCAGCAAUCCAACUGGUACCGACCGUCCCUAGAGCAAGUGGCAAAAGACUUGGUGGUUGGUACCCGAAACUCAAAUUUGAAUCCUAGUUGAUUCAUAUUUCCAGCUAAGUUUAUUUCUAAAUAAAAUAAACGAAGCAGGUAGCGCGCUAUCUAUCUCUCAAAAAAAAAAUAAAUAAAAUCCGAGCAAGUGGUCAAACAAGCCAUUUUGGUGGGACAGCAAAUAUAUUUCAUGGACCGAAUCAAUAUGAUGAACUUCUAGAAACAACAUAAAGCAAUUAAUUUUUAAAUUUAGAAGUCAUUGAGUAGAGCUAGAAUACCCCCAAAAGCACCAAUAGGUUGGUGUUUUUGAGUUUUUAGCUUUUUGAUGGAGAGAUAUAGGGUUGAGAUGAUAGUGGUAGGUGGUACUACGUGGAAUAAUACUUGAUCCAAAGGGUAUUAGUAAUUGAAAAGCAUAUCCAAGGGAUAAAAACUUAGAAGCACCAAUAAGUUGGUGGUUCUAAAAGUAUUCUAGCUCUACUCGUCAUUGAGUAUCACUUUUUUUAACAGGCGUAUAUUCCAAUCUACACUAAUUUAGUUGACUAAAUAUUCACGCAUCGUUAAUGUAAAAAUAAUAUUGUAAUACUGUGAUUAUUGAUGCACCAAAAAUUAUAAUUUUACAUCACUUUUAUUUCAGUAGUAUAUUAAUAUUUAAUCAGAUAAAUUCGAGUGCGGGACUUGGCUACUUGCUUUGUACUUAGUCCCAUACCAUUUGUUUUUUUUUUUUUUUGGAAUGUUACUUCAUCCCCUCUUUUGAUGUUGACUAUUGUCAAUUUGGCUUAAAUUAGCAUGCCAUUACAUUAAUAAGAGAAUCUUAUUGAAGAAACAAUGGUCACAUAUGAUGCAAAUAUAGUCAAAACAAAAAAGCUUUUAUAUUCUUAGGAAAUUACUUAUAAAAUAUUCGAAUCACCAUCUAAAAAGAAAAGAAAAACUAACCACCCAUUUUCCUGGUCCAAAUGGCUUGACAUUUUCAAACAGAGUUUUCAAAUUUAUUUAUUUUAUAAAAAAUAAUUACGUGUAUUAAGUUGAUCUGAAAAACAAACUAUUCAUUGAGUAUACUAACAUUCAUGCGAAAUUAAUAUAAAUAACACGCGAAAUUAACAGGCAGUACGAUGCAUACUAAACAAACUAUUAAUAUAAAUGACCUGCGAAAUUAACAGAUAGUAUGAUGCAUACUAUGAAAAAAAUUAAUUAGACAAAAAAUUAUAAUUGAUAAAAAUAAUUAUUCACAAAAAUAUAGAUAUGAUACUUUGUUUACUUUUACGCAGCACAAGAAAAUAAAUAGAUAGACCUAAGUAAUAGAUAAACCUAGUUAUCCAAAAGCCGAUCAAGAGGUAGGGAAGUUCCAGUCCUCUAUAUAAAGUUAAAUUUGGGACUCAGUACGCUUGUAUGGGUUUAUUGUAUAACGGUGUGUUUGGUAAAAUCGAUCUACACUUCAGUAAAGCUAGAGUUCCGUCUGUAUGGUAGGAAAAAUUCUAGAAUGCAACGGGUAUAUUAGUGACGUGGCGUAACAAACUAAUCAAAUUAAUCCUUUUAAGAAUAUAUGUCCCAUCAUGAUUGUAAAAAAAUAUUUUUAUUGUACUUUUGUUUAAAAAGAAGGAAUGUGAUUGGCUUGUUAUUGAUGACGUGGUACAAGUGUGACAGUGUAGAAUUCCUCCCAAGAAAGGGUGUAGGCCCCAUGGAAGUCAAGCUCCGCCAUUUCGUCCGUGAGCCAACUUGUGGUUUUCUGAGACGAAUUCACACAUGCAGGCGGUGUAGGCCCCAUGGAAGUCGAGCUCUGCCGUUUCGUCCAAACAUAGGCGAAUUCCUGUUACAAGAAUUAUGUCACCUCCACCUCGAAUUCGAUCAAAACAAAUACGUUCUAAGUUAGUUUUUUUUUUUUUAAGAGAGAAAAACAACAUACUAUCCAUUUCGUUGAUUUCUUUUAAAAUAAAAAAUAAACUUAGCUGAAAAUAUAAAAUAAUUAGAUUUCGAAUUUAGAAUCUCAAGUAUCAAUCACUAAAUCUUUUGCCACUUGCACUAUGGCGGGGGGUCAUUACACUCUAAGUUGUUGAAAGAAUUGUUNUUACCCUAUCAGAAAUCAAAUUUGAUUUUAAAAAUAAUUGAAGUAUACUUAGCAUAUAGGAGUUUGUAUGUAGCACUGGACAAUUAAUUUCUGACAAAGUUAGAGUAAAAUUUAAACACACAAAAUAAAAUCAUAAUACUGUACUUAAUGAUGCAAAAUCCACUGGUGAUAUUUUUCCUCCUGUUUUGUCCAUUUACAAGAUUCUUGUACCCUUCAAUUUUGGUAUUUUCCUAUCUUAUCUUACCUUAUCAAUAUCAAUAUAUUAAAGGGACCGACUGUUCCUAGCGCAAGUAGCAAAGAGCUUGAUGAUUGAUAUUCGAGAUAUCAAGUUCGAAUCCUAGUUGAUUCACAUUUCCAUCUAAGUUUAUUUAUAAAUAAAAUAAAUAAAACGGAUAACAUUCUACCUAUCUCUAAAAAAAAAAAAAAAAAAAAGAUUAAAGGCGUACCAUUAGGGCUGGCAAAUGAGCGAGCCGCUCGCUUCGAGCUCACGCGUCGAACUCGAUAUUUGCCAUCGUGAGCUCGACUCCGAAAUUAAAAAUGAAGCUAGCUUGAACAAAAAAACAAAGCUCGAAAUACCAUUUCAAACCGACUUGAGUACUUACUCCGCUCGUUCGAAUUAGGCCCCCGAAAAGCUCGAAAUCAUAUAUAUAUAUAUAUAUAUAUAUAUAUAUAUAUAUAUAUAUAUAUAUAUAUAUAGUAGAGCUACUAUACUAUCGAAAGUAUAGAGAUCUGGUGCUCUCGAUUUUUUGAUUCUUAGAUCAAUCCCUUUAAUCGUUUUUUAUCUUUGGAUUAAUAUUAUUAUUACCUUAUAGGGACCACUCAAUCCUAAGAGUAUUAUUUAAUCCUAGGGAGACCGCAAUCAUCUCAACGAUACAAUUUUUAAUCAAAUGGUCAAAAAUUAAAAAACAUCAAAUCCUCUAUAUUUCGAUAGCAUAGUAGUUCUACACUAUAUAUAUAUAUAUAUAUACAUACAUAUACAUAUAUAUAUAUAUACAUAUAUAUAUAUAUACAUAUAUAUAUACAUAUAUAUAUAUACAUAUAUAUAUAUACAUACAUAUACAUAUAUAUAUAUAUAUAUACAUAUAUAUAUAUAUAUACAUAUAUACAUAUAUAUAUAUAUACAUAUAUAUAUUAAAAAAUAUAUAAAUAUAAUAUAUAUAUAUAUAUUAAAAUAUAUAUAAAUAUAAUAUAUUUUAAUUAUAUAUAGGUUGAGUGAAUAAUCUGAGUUUAGUUAAAAUUGGGCCAAUGUUGUUGGCCCAUAAAAACAAACCCAAUAGACAAAUAAAAAAGUAAAAUUUUACUAAAUUUAUAUAUUUUUCUUUUCUUUCUUUCUUUCUUUUCUUUACAGAGUUCUAAAUUUUCAAUAUUUUUCUUUCUCAUUUUCUGCCUCUCACCCUAAGUGGCCAAGCCGGAAGCUCUCUAAGUUACCAAGUAACAUCAUAUGCUCGCCGUUGCCUAUCUUACUAUUUAUUGUAUGCUUGAAAAAACAUAUAGAAUAUUUUUAAAGUAAAAAAAUUAUUAUUCAUAUAAAAUUUUAAUUUUAGUUAUAUAUGAUUGGGUAGUUUAAUCCAAUAUUUAUCUAUAAAAUUUAUUUAUUUUUGACUGUAUAAAUGAAAAUGAAUAAUAUAGAAAUUGAAGGCGGAAGAAAAGACAUGUGAGGCUGAAAAAAUUAGAUAUUCAACUCAUAAAUUAUUUUUUUUAAUAUUAUAAUACUAUAUUUCAUAUAAUUAUUUUGUACUUUGAACUAUUAGACAUAUUUUUGUAUCAAAUUAUAGAUAAUGUUCUAUAUAAAUUAAACUAUUGAUCGUAUAAUGUUCAGAAUUUCAAGCGGCUCGUUUAGGGCUCGAGCUCGCUCGACUUGAAAUUAGGCUCGCUCGAGCUCGACUCGAAUUAAUUUCAAUCCAAGCUUGAGCUUAAAUUUAGGCUCGAAAUUAAUUUCAAGCCGAAUUUGAGCCGAGGUAAGCUCGCUCGAGCUCGGCUCGUUUCCACCCCUACGUACCAUACAUGAAAGGAGAAUCCAAACCAUGUGUACAGCAGAGCCCUCCUCGCUCCUGUGGGGCCCACUCUUUUUUUUUUUUUUUUUCUCUCUCUCCCAUACUUCCUUCACCCUUUCUUUUUUUAUUUGUUUUUUUCUCUCAACAUUUUUUUUUUUAUUUUUGUCUAUAUCACGUGUAAAAUUUUAUUAUAUGAACUAACCUUAUUUUUUAAUAGUCGAUAUAACAAAAUUAAAAUUUCAUACGGUAUAAAAAAAAUUGUACACCAAGUGUAUAAAACAUGCUUAUAUACAAUUUAUAAUUUGAUUUUUUUUUUAUUUUUACCUAUAUCAAGUAUAAAAUUUUAGCGCAUACACCAAUUCUAUUUUUUAAUAGUCUCCUCAAGGAAAGCGGUGGGACCCACUUUUUUUCUCUCUCAUACUCUCUCUCUCUCACACCCUAUACCCCCCCCUCCUCCUCUUUUUUUCUCUCAACACCUUUUCUUUUUUGUUUUUUCCUACACAAGUUUAAAAUUUUAUCAUAUAGAUCAACCUUAUUUUNCUUAUUUUUUAAUAGUCGAUAUAACAAAAUUAAAAUUUCAUACGGUAUAAAAAAAAUUGUACACCAAGUGUAUAAAACAUGCUUAUAUACAAUUUCUCAACACCUUUUCUUUUUUGUUUUUUCCUACACAAGUUUAAAAUUUUAUCAUAUAGAUCAACCUUAUUUUUUAAUAAUUGAUAGUGUACAGCAACCACUUCAAAUAAAGAGGUGGGGCUCACUCCACUUUUUUUUUCUCUCUCUCACUCUCCCUCACUCUCUCACACAUUGUACACCGAGUGUAUAAGACGUGCACAUGUAUUGCAUAUGAUAAAGUUUAGCUUUCUAUCUAUCUAUAUCCAUACACCCUACACACACCCUACACCCUACACCCUACACCCUACACCUCUAUAAUCCUAUUUUUUAAUAUUCAAUAUAACAAAAUUAAAAUUUCAUACGGUGUAAAAAAGUUGUACACCGAAUUUAUAAGAUAUGCUCAUAUACACGUCUUUGACAGUAUCAAAGAGAACUUAUAUACUUUGGGUUAAAAUUUUUUUGUACGUAUAAAAAUGCAAGUAUCUAAUUUAAACAUACACAAUAAAUGAAAUAACUAGGAAAUAUAAUCUGAUCGAAUACUUUGUCAUAAUAAAAGUAGAUUAUACAUGUAUGAAAGUUGUGUGCACUCAGUAGUUGUACAGGAUAACAAAGAAGGACCCUCAUAUUUCUGGCAAAAAUACUUUAUUUUUUAAUAGUCGAAAUACAAAAUUAAAAUUUCAUACGAUGUAAAAAAAAUUGUACAACAAGUGUAGAAGACAUGCUCAUAUAUAAUCUAUAAUUUAAAAUUUUUUUAUUUUUGCCUACAAAAUUUUAUUGCAUGGACCAAUCUUAUUUUUUAAUAGUCUCCUCAAGCAAAGAGGGGGCACACUUUUUUUUCUCUCUCUCAUUCUCUCUCUCUCUCUCUCACCCUACACUGCUUAUUUUAUUUUAUUUUUUCUCUCAACACCUUUUUUUUUUAUUUUUUCCUGCUCCAAGUGUAAAAAAUAGGGCUGGUCCAUGCGCUAAAAUUUUACACUUGGUGUAGGCAAAAAUAAAAAAAAUUCAAAUUAUAAAUUAUAUAUGAGCAUGUCUUAUACACUCGUAUACAACUUGUUUUACACCUUGUAAACUUUUAAUUUUUGUUAUAUCGACUAUUAAAAAAUAGGGUUAGUCCAUGCGAUAAAGUUUUAUACUUGAUGUAGGAAAAAAAAUUUAAAAAAAGGUGUUGAGCGAAAAAAAUAAAAAAAAAAAAGGGUGCAGGGUGUGUGAAAGAGAGAGUGUGAGAGAGAGAAAAAAAAAACCUAUUUUUUAAUAAUUAAUAUAAUAAAAUUAAAAUUUCAUCUCAUAAGUAUAAUUUAUAAUAUAUAAAAAAUAUAGAUAGAAAAAUUAAUAGAUUUGUACCUCUAUAAUAAAACUUCAUAAAUAUUAUGUAAAAAAAAUUAAACAUUCGGUGUAUAAGACAUUGUUACACAUUAUUCAAUUUGACUUUAACUUAACAUCAAUAAAGUUUAGUUUUGAGCUCUCCUUCCUUGGAGCAUUGGUGGGGUCCGCCCACUUUCUCCACUCCCACUUUUUGGUAGUAGGUAAUAUUUUGCUUUGUUUUUUUAGAAAUAAAUUUAGCUGAAAAUGCGAUUCGAAAUUGGGACUUCGGAUAUUGAACACCAAACUCUUUACAACGUACGGUGGGAACGAUAGGUAAUAUUAGAAUAAAAAAUGGGCCAGUAUUUGAUUUAGUAAUUUAAAUUUAGGGAAAACUUCAAAAACCCCCCCUGUGGUUUCGUGCUUUCUCACUUUACUACCCUGUGGUUUAAAACGUAUCAAUUUGCCCCCCUGUGGUUUCGUUUUUCUCUUUUUGUUAUCAAUUUUAUUAUUAUUUUUUUCUUAAAUCAGUGACAAAGUUAAAAUUAAAGGAUACUAAAGUGAAUAUUCGAUAAAUAUAGAUGGUUAUCUGAAGUUUUUUGUAUAUAAUUUAACGAAAUGUUAACGAAAAAGCUUCCGAAAAGAUAAAAAUGAAACCACAGGGGGGCAAAUUGAUACGUUUUAAACCACAGGGUAGUAAAGUGAGAAUGCACGAAACUACAGGGGGGUUUUUGAAGUUUUCCCUUAAAUUUAACAUCUUUUAGAUUCUUAUACUUAAAAAAAAAAUUAAAAUACUAUUAAUAGCAAAAGAAAAAUAUGGCCAAAUUGCAUAAAAAAUCCACUAGUUUUGCGCUGUUGAAAAAGUGGGCCACUUUUUUCGAUUUUGCAGAUUCGGACCGAAUUUUCACCAAACUGACCAAAAUACCCUUAUUACUUUUUCCCUCUCCUCUUUUUUUCUCUCGUUCAUUUUUUUUUUCUCGUCGGUAGAGUGGAGGCGGAGCGGAGGCAGAAACGGCCCGUCUCGCCUCUCACCCUUAUGCUCUCGCCCUCGCCCUCGCCUGCGCACUCCCCACCUUCCUCGCCUCCGACCCCGCCGAGGCCGCACCGCGACUUUUUUUUUUUUUUCCUCUCCGACUCUCCUCCACCGUCUUCGGCGACGACGCCUCUCUCGCCCUUCCGCCUUUCUUGUCCUCUCUCUCUCCCUCCUACUCUGCUGCCUUCGACGACGACGCAUCUUCGCUGACGACGCAUCUUCGCCGACGCCGACACCGUUUAGGUCGCUACGGCGCCGCAACCUAGGGUGGGGGGUCCUUAGUGGCGUUGUCGCCGGCGCUGGCAGAGAGGGGUGACAAAAAAAAAAUAUAGAAGAAGCAAGAAAAAAAAAUAAAGAUAGAAAAUUAUAGAAAAAAAAAGAUGAAGAUUAAAUUGCACCGUUAAAAUAAAAUUACACUGUUUUAAAAGAACGUUGCAUUAUUAAGAUGUAAACUGCAGCUUUAAGAUUAAAUUAUACUCUUUAAACGAAAAUUGCACUCUUUAGGAGAUAUUUAUAUUGUUUCUCCUCUUAUUGCACUCUUUCAGAUGUAAACUGCAUCCAUUAAGAUAAAAGUUACACUCUUUAAACGAAAGUUGCACUCUUUGAGAGAUAUUUACACUAUUUCUCCUCUUAUUGCAUUGUUUCUCCUCUUGUUGCACUAUUUCUCUUAUUGUUUACACAGAAAUGGUGCAACAAGAGGAGAAACAGUGCAACAAGAAAAGAAAUAAUAUAAAUAUUUCUUAAAGGAAUGCAGUUUACAAAAGGAGAAACAGUGCAGCAAGAAGAGAAGAAAUAAUGUAAAUAUCUCUCAAAGAGUGCAACUUUCGUUUAAAGAGUAUAAUUUUUAUCUUAAUAGAUACAGUUACAUUUAAAAGAAUGCAAUAAGAGAAGAAACAGUGCAACAAGAGAAGAAACAGUGCAACAAGAGGAGAAACAGUAUAAAUAUCUCUUAAAGGGGUGCAGUUUACAUCUCAAAGGGUGCAAGAAGAGAAAAAAUAGUGUAAAUAUCUCUCAAAGAGUGCAACUUUCGUUUAAAGAGUGUAACUUUCAUCUUAAUGGAUGCAGUUUACAUCUGAAAGAGUGCAAUAAGAGGAGAAACAGUGUAAAUAUCUCUCAAAGAGUGUAAUUUUCGUUUAAAGAGUGUAACUUUCAUCUUAAUGGAUACAAUUUACAUCUGAAAGAGUGCAAUAAGAGGAGAAACAGUGUAAAUAUCUCCCAAAGAGUGUAAUUUUCGUUUAAAGAGAUAAAAAUUUAUCUUAAAGCUGCAGUUUACAUCUUAAAUAGUACAACUUAUGUUCAUAAUAGUGCAACGUUCUUUUAAAACAGUAUAAUUUUAUUUUAACGGUGCAAUUUCAUUUUCAUCUUUCUUUUUCUAUAAAUUUUUAUCUUUAUUUUUUUUUCUUGCUUCUAUCAUUUUUUUUUAUCACCCCUCUCUGCCAACGGCCACUGCGCCGGACACGACGCCGCUAAGAACCCCCCGCUCCGAGGCUGCAGCGCCGCAGCGACCUCCACGGUGUCGGUGUCGGCGAAAAUGCGUCAUCGUCGGAGGCGGCAGAGGAGGAAGGAGAGGGAGAGGACAAGAAGGGCGGGGAAGGGUGAGAGAGGCUUCAUUGUCGGAGACGGUAGAGGCGAGUCGAACAAGAAAAAAAAAAGAGUCGCGGCGCAGCCUCGGUGGGGUCGGAGGCGAGGAUGGUGGGGGGUGCGCGGACGAGGGCAAGGACGAGCUCGAGAGCAUGAGGGUGAAAGGCGAGGCGGGCCAUUUCCGCCUCCGCCUCUGCCUCCACUGCUUUCUUCGGUGAGAGAAAAAAAAAAUGAACGAGAGAAAAAAAGAUGAGAGAGAAAAAGGAGAGAGAAAAAGUAAUAAAGAUAUUUUAGUCAGUUUGCUGAAAAUUCGGACCGAAUCUGCAAAAACGAAAUAGAUGGCCCACUUGUACAAAAACCCAAAAUUAGUGAAUUUUUUUGUACAAAUUGGCCGAAAAAUACUAGCUACCUAUUAUUAUAGUUUUUGAAUACAUAGAGUUUAUUAUUUGGCGUGAUAUGUGCUAUUAUAAAUUGAAGGACUACAAAGUUAACAUUAAAUACUUAAUUUACUAUCAAUAGUAUUAUAGGUGAACUCUUUUAUGCAUAGAAUUAAAAAAAAAGAAAAAUUAAUUACACCAUUUGCCCCAAACAUUCAUUUUUUGUUUUGAUUUUAGACUUAAGAUUUUCUCAAUUAAAUUCUUAAGCUAUAUUAUUUGUUUCGAUUAAGUCCUGCUCAUCAAAAAGUUUAAUAAUUUUGAUAAAAUUUGUAGCAAAUAUGAUUUAGAAAUAAUGUGACAAUUCUCGUCAGAUUUUAAUACAAGACGUUAUUGAAAGACUCAAGAGGCAUUUGAAACUUAAUUACAAAAUAUUUUACAAAAUUGAGUGUCAAAAUAGAAAGCUUAUGAUAGAGAGCGAUAUAAAGACACCACAUUAAAUUACUAACUUGUGGACUAUAUUAAUAUUAAUUCAUCAAUAAUAUUUUAUAAAAUUCGUUUCAAGUACUUGCUACGCGCAGGCUCGCUCCCUCCUUCCACUUAUUGGCAACUCCCUGCAGCGCCUUGUAUGAGGACCCGUCCGGCGGUGCGAGCGCCCUCGCCGCCGCCUCCUGCAACUCCUUGGUGCGGCACCGCAGCGCCUUGCCCUUCUCCCCCUGCAUCAAUUCCUUCACCGCCGCCGCGAUCUCCUCCCUGCCGACGACACCGUAGGGGUCCCUUGACCGCGGCCGGAUGGCGAUUCCGACCGCCUCGGUGAGCAGGACGGCAUUCCAGUGCUGUUCGGCAUAGAGCGGGUGCGCAAUCAUCGGCACGCCAUGCACGGUGCUCUCCAGCGCCGAGUUCCAGCCGCAGUGUGAGAAGAAGCCGCCAGUCGCAGCAUGGGCCAGCACCUUGACCUGCGGCGCCCACGACGACACCACGCGGCCCACGUCCUUUGUCCGUUCCAAGAAGCCCUCCGGAAGGUAGUUCGAAGGAUCAUCCUUGCUUCCUAAUAUCAUUUAUAAACAGUAAAAAGCGAUAAAUCAAGUAUAGCAACCGAGUUCUCCAACCAACUUUGGCCUAUGAAAGAAAUAACUUUAAUACUAAAUCGAUGUGCGAAGAAAUAUAAAAACUCGAUACUAAUAAAUUAAAAUUAUAUAUAUUAUAAUAACAGCACAUCAUCAAAUUUUAUAACAAUAGCUCGGUACCUGAUGUGAAAAAGGCGGCGUUCUUUUCUUUGUCACUGGGACACCUGACAACCCAAAGGAAGCGCUGCCCGCUGGCCUCCAGCCCGAGUGCCAUCUCCUGCAUCUGCUCCGUCGAGAGGGAGCCGCCACUCCCGAAAGACACGAAUAAAACCGAAUCGGCCGGCUGCCGGUCCAGCCACUCCAGGCAGCCCGACUCGUCCGCCUCAUCCGAACCGGACCGGACCAUCGGACCCACCAGGUGGACCGGCGGCCUCCCUGCUUCCGCUUGCUCCUCCUCUCUGAUGGCUUUCAGCACCUCCUUCUCCAUCUCCUCGAAGCUGUUCACCAGGAUCCCGGCCGCGUCACUGUAACUGCAAAACAACUCGUUACUUUGACAAUUCAAUCGUAUUCGAACUCGGAAUCUACUAUUUUAUUUAAAAUUAUCAAAUUCUUUUAGAAACUUACGUUAUUAGAUAAGAUAACGAUAUUUCUUACCUGCUCAUGAUCCGGAUGAGCGGAGCGUACGCGGGGUGUGACUUCUUGCGCAAGGGGUCGGGGAAGUCCGUCCCGCGUAUGGCGACGCAGCCUGGCAGGCAGACGGGGUCGGGGAGGUCUUCGAAGUCGACGUCGGUGGUCUCGUCGAGCCGGGGCAGGUGCAGCGCGAGGGUGAGCAUCCUAAGAUUGGUAGGGUAAAAUAUGUAACCCGGCACACCGAGCUCCCGCACCAGCGACAGCGUCACGGACCCAAAAAGGUCGCAGACGAAGGCGGCGGCGGGGUUUCGGAAGGAGAGGAAGGCGUCGCGGAGGAGGGGGAGGCAUCGGGUGAGGAGCGCGCAGAGAUGGACUUCGAUCGGGGAGUCGGGGGGGAGGUCGGAGAGGGAGAUGGAGGGGAGGGAGACGGAGGUGACGGAGUCGGAGGGGAGGGAGGCGAGGAAGGCGGCCUGCGCCGGGGAGUUGAAGUUGGAGAAGGUGAGGAGGGUGGCGGAGAAGCUGUGGGCGGCAGCGAGCCGAACGGCGAAGUCCGCCAGCGGGAUCACGUGGCCCAUUCCCGGCGUCGGGAGCAGAACCACAUGAGGCCGCCGGCUCUCAUUCCCCUCGACAGCCAUAUAAUUAAUA